This is a long non-coding RNA of Dermochelys coriacea (leatherback sea turtle), 1594 nucleotides long. RefSeq lists it as uncharacterized. The record is from RefSeq and is a predicted model, not a curated record. NCBI's taxonomy places the organism in Eukaryota, Metazoa, Chordata, Testudines, Dermochelyidae. The transcript has 2 exons.
CACCAGCCAGAUGGGUCACGGCGGGACAGUCCCGCCCGAGAUCUCGCGAGAUUUUCAGGCCAAUGAAAACCGAAGCGCGGGCCGUGCUGAGCCUGAAGCGCCAUUUUGCGCUGGGGCCGCGUCGGGAGGGAGCGGGCCGGUGUCAGCCUGCGGCCUCGCUAACGGGGGGGGAGCAGAGGCUCCCCGAGGCCGUGCCGUUGGGGGCUUGUUCAGUGGCGUACCGCGCUGAGGCAGGGCGGCCGGGAUGUGGAGACCCCCGGGGUCGGGGCCCGGCUCUGCCCCAGCCGCCCUGAGGGGAGCCCGGCGGAGGGGCCAGGCCGCGCUUCUCUGUGCCCAGUGAUGAGCGGGCCUCCCUCGCUGCGGCGGCGCUCGGCGCCUAGGAGAGCGGGGCCCUGGCAGUCCCUGCGCUAGCUAAGCCCUGAGCCGUUUACCCAGGCGGAAGCCCGGCCGUGGUGACCUUAUUUGUGGCCUGUCCGCGUCUGAUCGUUACAGGGGAUCUGCACCCUGGCAGCCGCUGAAACACCUGGGCUCGGGCCCCUGCCGGCACGUCAGCAGUUACUGACAGGGACUAAGAUUGGUAACGUCUGCAAACGGAUUGGGUCUCGCUUAAACACGGCCACGUCGCCCAAAGCCAUCAGCAUAAUUGGCACGGAGGUAGCCUCAGUGAAGGAAAAAAAGUUGCAUACAUCGAUUGAGAACAAGCUUCAGAUAAACAGCAACAGCGGUUGGGGUUACAGGCACGGGGGUGCAAACUUCCACUGUAAGAGAAAAGCUUAGUGUCCAAGAGGUGGCAACCUCAUGCCAUUCACCCACAGAGUAUCUCCUUCCCCCCCCCCCCGCACAGCCAUCUCAAAAGAGGGGGGAGAACAUCCAUUUAGCUCAGAUAAGAAACUAAAUACAUUACAGAGGUUACAUGCAGUUGGAAGUAUUAAUCUUCGCCACAAGAAAAAGCCCAUCUGUAUAAUGAAAUUCUGAAGUUUUUCUGUUUUAGAGCACUGAUUAAUGCAAGGAUAGGGUAUGUUACCCUCUCACCUGAAGUAAAGGUAAUAUUUCUGCUAGGGAAUUCUGAAUUCUUCAGCAUUUUUUUCCUCAAAACUAGAGAUGAACAUUAAAGGUGGUAGACUGAGGUUUUUGUGACAUUUAAUGUUAAACCAAGACACUCGGAGAUAGCUUUGUUUUUUCAUGGACUUGAUAAGGCAUAAUUCCUGAAAUUAGUAUCAAAAUUGGUAGCAUAUGUUGAGUAUCUGAUGUGUAUGAAAACAUUAGCUUCUCUAUGCACUUUAAUUUGGGUUAACAGUUUUAGAAUAUAACCAACCCUAGAGGCAACUGAAAUAUAGGAUUAACUUUACCAUAGUCUGGCAGGUUAAAUACCAGUAUGUUUAUUAUGAAAGAGAAAAUAGUAUAAGAAGAUAUUUCACAGAUGAGACUGUCUGAGAGAAAAAACUUAGACUUUACCUAGAUUCAGAGUCAUUCAGAUGACCAAAAAAGUCAUACAUUGAGUAUUACACAAUGUCUGCUGCUAGGUGAGAGGGCCAAAUUCCGCUCAUAUAUGGUCAGUGAGGAGUACUCUCAUACAUCAGGCAAACAGAUUUAC